CGCGGUAAUUCCAGCUCCAAUAGCGUAUAUUAAAGUUGUUGCCGUUAAAAAGCUCGUAGUUGAACCUUGGACCUGGCUGAUCUGUCCUCCUAAUCGAGCGUACGGAUUCGGUCGGGUCUUUCCUUCUGGGGAGCCCUAUGUCCUUUACUGGUCGUAGCGGGGAACCAGGACUUUUACCUUGAAAAAAUUAGAGUGUUCAAAGCAGGCCUUUGCUCGAAUACAUUAGCAUGGAAUAAUAGAAUAGGACAUCGGUUCUAUUUUGUUGGUUUCUAGGACCGCUGUAAUGAUUAAUAGGGAUAGUCGGGGGCAUCCGUAUUCAAUUGUCAGAGGUGAAAUUCUUGGAUUUAUUGAAGAC
RNAcentral lists this ribosomal RNA (355 nucleotides) under uncultured eukaryote. RNAcentral's name for it is "SSU rRNA". It matches the Rfam family "Eukaryotic small subunit ribosomal RNA", at positions 575 to 936 of the family's 1831-position model. The record is from RNAcentral.